Molecule: long non-coding RNA, 1044 nt
Organism: Balaenoptera ricei (Rice's whale)
Lineage: Eukaryota; Metazoa; Chordata; Mammalia; Artiodactyla; Balaenopteridae
Exons: 7
Source: RefSeq, a predicted model, not a curated record
GGGGGAGGCGAGACACUACGCGUAUUCGGAAUGGAGGUGCUACGCGGUGUCCAGGAAGCUUCCUCCUGCAUUAGGAGGUCUAUACAUGCUGUUAUCUUUGCUGGACUUUCCUCCCAUCUCUUCAUCUAGGCCCAACUUGGCUUUGCAGUACUUGACUGCCCUCAGUUCUACAUAGUUGCCACUAGAGGGCAGGCGCGGUUAAGACAACAAUACUCUGGACCCACCAGCGCCAUAAUUACUGGUGGUCUGGAACCCAGCCUGCACUAUCUCCAAGGUCUGCCUGUACUGACACGGAGUGCAUAUACACAUGCAUCUUUGGUGUGGCUAAUUCACUACCAGCUGGAACUCACAUCACAGCUGCCCUAUUUACUUACCUACCGGCUGCAUUCCUUAGAACCAGUUUUUUUCCUGUUCAAAUGGAAACCAGGCAGAAUUGGGAAAAUAUUUCUUCAGCCAGCUCCUCAGCACUGCUGUCUGAGGGAGACCAUCUGACCCAGAUGCCCUUCAAUUGGGUUGGCAGAAUCUUCAAGAACCACACCCCUUCCCCAGGGUGGUGUCUAAUGUGCCUGGUCUGAUUCUCAACAUGGCCUGUUUGCAGAAGAAACCUCCUCUGGGACCUCAGCUACCCUACCUGGUCUUGGUGGAUGGGACCCUCAGAUAGUGGAAUGCAUCAUGGCCAAGUGGAGGUGUCCAGAGUCCCCUUGUGCCACCUGGAUUGGAAGAAGACAUUGCUCAGAAACCCUUCGAAAGAACUGGGGAGUGUCCCUGAGCACCUCCCACUCCCAAAGGACAGUGCAUGUGCUCCCUGGUUCCCCAAGCCUAGCAGAGCAGCUCGCCCCUCAUCCAGAGAAUUGUGGAAUCCUAUCUGCUUCAAGGACUGUUUCCAAAAUGAUCUCCCAAGCAGCUCAUGCCUGAACUUGGAGUAGUGACAACUACAUAUCUCACACCCCACUCAUUUUGUUCUCUUCUUGUGCCUUCUCCCCAAGUAUAGCAUCCUGUACUAGCAUUUCCUAGUAUGUAAAUAGCUUAUAAUCGGGGCUUGGU